Molecule: long non-coding RNA, 331 nt
Filed under: Gopherus agassizii (Agassiz's desert tortoise)
Lineage: Eukaryota; Metazoa; Chordata; Testudines; Testudinidae
Description: lncRNA (ENSGAGG00000010440.1)
Source: RNAcentral
AACUGAUUUUAUGUUAAAAACAGACUUUUCUACUUUAUUAAAGAUUUGUUAGAACAUUGAGCUCCAUUCAUCAAUAAUUUGGCUCCACUCUUGCCACCUUUUGCAAAGUAUCUGCAGGCCUCCUGGCACUUGGGAAUGAUGCUGGGCUGGCUACAUAGUGAAUACUGAAGGAGACCCCCUAUCAUGUUCUUACUGAAGGAAGUGUGACAUAGUGUGAAUCUGUGUCUAGCUAUCUAUGGAAAUUUCACUAAUAGAAAUUUUAAAAAAUGAAAGAAGUUCGACUGGUCUUCUGUACGGAGGAAUUGACAAGGUAAUAAUGGCAGUUGUGUAG